This 674-nucleotide unclassified non-coding RNA is filed under the name Zea mays. Its description in RNAcentral is "misc RNA Zm00001eb388480". Lineage: Eukaryota; Viridiplantae; Streptophyta; Magnoliopsida; Poales; Poaceae. The record is from RNAcentral.
UCUCCAGCGGCUACGCCAUCGACAGGUCAGGAGGACCGCAGCUAGCCUUCCAAGAUGCCGCACCCUAAGUGCUGCUGGUUUCCAGCUCUCUACUUCUUCCACUAAGCCUACAAAGCUUAAUGUCACCAUCAGUUUGAUCCAGAGCAUCUUGAGCAUGAUCAUCCUUUGUUGGACCCUGCCUUGUUCCAUUCAAGUAACAGCCAUUAAAAGUCCAAAGCACUUUUUACACAAAUAUAUUCUCACAGCUAGAGCAUCAAGAAAGGCCAAAGAAGAUUUGAAGUGUAGGAAUGAUAGUUGCCUCUACGAUUAGCAUCGAAAAGAUUAACUAAUCGAUAAAAGUGGCCUGGGAUAAAGGAAUCUUGGUAAGUUGUCAAUUAAAAACUGAUGGCUUGGUUGAUCGCAUUGGUCUUUUUGACUUUAGUUCCGUUCUUAUCACAUCAAAAUUCAAUAGAUUACGUGACUAGUUGUAGGGAAAGAUCAAGCGAAGCAUUAAAGCCUGAUCUGGAAGUUCAGUGUAUGCGCGGCCUGCACUUUGCCUGUGGAUGGACAUGCCUUUUAAGCUUCAUGAUGCUUCUGUUAGCUGCCCUUUUGGAGCAUGCCUGUUCUGUAUUAUUUUUUUUAUGAUGCUGUGAAUAUAUAUGUUAUCUAUAGCUAGGAUAAAUCUAUAGAUUGGG